This is a long non-coding RNA of Poecilia latipinna (sailfin molly), 99 nucleotides long. RefSeq lists it as uncharacterized. NCBI's taxonomy places the organism in Eukaryota, Metazoa, Chordata, Actinopteri, Cyprinodontiformes, Poeciliidae. The record is from RefSeq and is a predicted model, not a curated record. The transcript has 3 exons.
UUAGAAAAGUAUUUUGUGAAAUUUUUCUGUAAUGAUCAGAACUGAGGACCCGAAAUUUCAGUCAGACACAAAGUACAAAAUAAUAAGUUCUUUAUUGAG